RNAcentral lists this ribosomal RNA (253 nucleotides) under uncultured bacterium. RNAcentral's name for it is "partial 16S ribosomal RNA". It matches the Rfam family "Bacterial small subunit ribosomal RNA", at positions 524 to 776 of the family's 1533-position model. The record is from RNAcentral.
AACGUAGGAGACAAACGUUAUCCGGAGUUACUGGGCGUAAAGGGCGUGUAGGUGGUUGCGUAAGUCUGGCGUGAAAUUUUUCGGCUUAACCGGGAAAGGUCGUCGGAUACUGCGUAACUAGAGGACGGUAGAGGCGUGUGGAAUUCCGGGUGUAGUGGUGAAAUGCGUAGAUAUCAGGAGGAACACCUGUGGCGAAAGCGGCUCACUGGACCACAACUGACGCUGAGGCGCGAAAGCUAGGGGAGCAAACAGG